Molecule: non-coding RNA, 47 nt
Organism: Lysinibacillus xylanilyticus
Lineage: Bacteria; Bacillati; Bacillota; Bacilli; Caryophanales; Bacillaceae
Source: Rfam
ACGGGAGAGGUUCAUAGCUAAUACCCUCUAUAAAAAACUAUGGAAAC